CCCGACAUAACCCGCGCUCCUUGUCUUCUCCAGUCGUCUUCCCGUGGUCCUGGCACAGCCACGUAGCUCCACCUGAGCUCCCUUGUUCAGCUCCAGCGUGCAACUACCCUGCUCUCCCGCGCGUCCUCCGCCGCCUCCGUAGCUUCCUCCUCCGCCGCUCCCUCCCGCCUCACGAAGCUCCCUUCCCCCACUCGCCUGCCUCCAUAGCCUCCUUUCACCCUAAAAAUCCAUUUUUCUUCCUCUGUGGGCUACUACGGCGUACUUCGGCUCUGGUGAGGCUCCGAUCCAGCACACAGCUCGCUCGCGCGCCGGGAUGCGACGUCAUGGAGGACGCCACUCCCCCCCUACUCUACUCCGUGCCCCCGAUGCCAUGGAGGACGCCGCUCCACCGCUGCUCCAUCCUGAAGGCACUCCACCCCUGCUCCAGCCUGAAGGUGCUCCAUCUCUGAAUGUUUAAUGCUCCUACUGCAUCAAUUUGCUACUCCAUGGACUAUUUUAGAAUUUUAAACCGAGUUUUUUAAUUUCCGUUCGGUACUAUGGUCUCUCUGUUUUGUCAAUCUGCUGUAAUCAUUUAUUCUGUGGAGUUCGUCAGUUUUAAACAAAAUGAUUAUUAGUGCAUCCAGGAAUAAUUUAAGUUA
Long non-coding RNA from Aegilops tauschii subsp. strangulata, 638 nucleotides. RefSeq lists it as uncharacterized. The record is from RefSeq and is a predicted model, not a curated record. NCBI's taxonomy places the organism in Eukaryota, Viridiplantae, Streptophyta, Magnoliopsida, Poales, Poaceae.